CAGUCGCCGCGGUAAGACAGAGGAUGCAAGCGUUAUCCGGAAUGAUUGGGCGUAAAGCGUCUGUAGGUGGCUUUUCAAGUCCGCCGUCAAAUCCCAGGGCUCAACCCUGGACAGGCGGUGGAAACUACCAAGCUGGAGUACGGUAUGGGCAGAGGGAAUUUCCGGUGGAGCGGUGAAAUGCGUUGAGAUCGGAAAGAACACCUACGGCGAAAGCACUCUGCUGGGCCGACACUGACACUGAGAGACGAAAGCUAGGGGAGCAAAUGGGAUUAGAUACCCCUGUAGUCCCUGUCUCUUAUAC
This 301-nucleotide ribosomal RNA is filed under the name uncultured bacterium. RNAcentral's name for it is "partial 16S ribosomal RNA". It matches the Rfam family "Bacterial small subunit ribosomal RNA", at positions 509 to 807 of the family's 1533-position model. The record is from RNAcentral.